This 227-nucleotide ribosomal RNA is filed under the name uncultured bacterium. RNAcentral's name for it is "partial 16S ribosomal RNA". It matches the Rfam family "Bacterial small subunit ribosomal RNA", at positions 15 to 233 of the family's 1533-position model. The record is from RNAcentral.
GAUCAUGGCUCAGGGUGAACGCUAGCUACAGGCUUAACACAUGCAAGUCGAGGGGCAGCAUGGUCUUAGCUUGCUAAGGCCGAUGGCGACCGGCGCACGGGUGAGUAACACGUAUCCAACCUGCCGUCUACUCUUGGACAGCCUUCUGAAAGGAAGAUUAAUACAAGAUGGCAUCAUGAGUUCACAUGUUCACAUGAUUAAAGGUAUUCCGGUAGACGAUGGGGGUG